CCUGUUGCUUCCGCUGGGCAGUGAUUUCGGUCACCUGCGAACCGAAAGGCGUGAGCCAUCCGGUCGUAGAGUCCUCGCGAAUGGUCUACAUCAAACUCUUGCAUUUCUAUGUCAUCUGUCUGAACCUGUUAAAUAACAAAUGUUAAAACUUUCAACAACGGAUCUCUUGGUUCUCGCAUCGAUGAAGAACGCAGCGAAAUGCGAUAAGUAGUGUGAAUUGCAGAAUUCAGUGAAUCAUCGAAUCUUUGAACGCACAUUGCGCCUCCUGGUAUUCCGGGAGGCAUGCCUGUUCGAGCGUCAUUAAAAACCACUCAAGCACUUUUGCUUGGUAUUGGGAGAUUUGGAGCGUACCCUGAUGCGUUCCCUCCCGAAAUUCAAAGGCGGAAAGCCCCAGGUGCCCCGGCGUAGUAAGUUUUCUUUCGCUCGGAACCAGAGGUGAUCCUGCCGUCCAACCCCCAAUCACUUUUUUCAGGUUGACCUCGGAUCAGGUAGGGAUACCCGCUGAACUUAAGCAUAUCAAUAAGCGGGAGGAANAGGAUCAUUAAAAGUAAUAUGUAUUCACUCGAAUAUACAUUAUAAACCCCCCUCUGUGUACCUUAUCCUGUUGCUUCCGCUGGGCAGUGAUUUCGGUCACCUGCGAACCGAAAGGCGUGAGCCAUCCGGUCGUAGAGUCCUCGCGAAUGGUCUACAUCAAACUCUUGCAUUUCUAUGUCAUCUGUCUGAACUGUUAAAUAACAAAUGUUAAAACUUUCACACGGAUCUCUUGGUUCUCGCAUCGAUGAAGAACGCACGAAUGCGAUAAGUAGUGUGAAUUGCANAAAUCGUGAAUCAUCGAAAUCUUGAACGCACAUUGCGCUCGGUAUUCGGGAGGCAUGCUGUUCGAGCAUCAUUAAAACACUCAGCCUUUUGCUUGGUAUUGGGAGANUUGGAGCGUACCUGAUG
RNAcentral lists this ribosomal RNA (942 nucleotides) under Scutellinia hirta. RNAcentral's name for it is "eukaryotic LSU rRNA". The stretch from base 147 to 300 matches the Rfam family "5.8S ribosomal RNA". The record is from RNAcentral. Lineage: Eukaryota; Fungi; Ascomycota; Pezizomycetes; Pezizales; Pyronemataceae.